Molecule: ribosomal RNA, 903 nt
Filed under: Acinetobacter venetianus
Lineage: Bacteria; Pseudomonadati; Pseudomonadota; Gammaproteobacteria; Moraxellales; Moraxellaceae
Description: bacterial SSU rRNA
Rfam family: Bacterial small subunit ribosomal RNA
Source: RNAcentral
GGGGGACCCUGAUCCAGCCAUGCCGCGUGUGUGAAGAAGGCCUUAUGGUUGUAAAGCACUUUAAGCGAGGAGGAGGCUACUAGUAUUAAUACUACUGGAUAGUGGACGUUACUCGCAGAAUAAGCACCGGCUAACUCUGUGCCAGCAGCCGCGGUAAUACAGAGGGUGCGAGCGUUAAUCGGAUUUACUGGGCGUAAAGCGUGCGUAGGCGGCCAUUUAAGUCAAAUGUGAAAUCCCCGAGCUUAACUUGGGAAUUGCAUUCGAUACUGGAUGGCUAGAGUAUGGGAGAGGAUGGUAGAAUUCCAGGUGUAGCGGUGAAAUGCGUAGAGAUCUGGAGGAAUACCGAUGGCGAAGGCAGCCAUCUGGCCUAAUACUGACGCUGAGGUACGAAAGCAUGGGGAGCAAACAGGAUUAGAUACCCUGGUAGUCCAUGCCGUAAACGAUGUCUACUAGCCGUUGGGGCCUUUGAGGCUUUAGUGGCGCAGCUAACGCGAUAAGUAGACCGCCUGGGGAGUACGGUCGCAAGACUAAAACUCAAAUGAAUUGACGGGGGCCCGCACAAGCGGUGGAGCAUGUGGUUUAAUUCGAUGCAACGCGAAGAACCUUACCUGGCCUUGACAUACUAGAAACUUUCCAGAGAUGGAUUGGUGCCUUCGGGAAUCUAGAUACAGGUGCUGCAUGGCUGUCGUCAGCUCGUGUCGUGAGAUGUUGGGUUAAGUCCCGCAACGAGCGCAACCCUUUUCCUUACUUGCCAGCAUUUCGGAUGGGAACUUUAAGGAUACUGCCAGUGACAAACUGGAGGAAGGCGGGGACGACGUCAAGUCAUCAUGGCCCUUACGGCCAGGGCUACACACGUGCUACAAUGGUCGGUACAAAGGGUUGCUACCUAGCGAUAGGAUGCUA